AGUGAACGCUGGCGGUAGGCCUAACACAUGCAAGUCGAACGGCAGCACAGGAGAGCUUGCUCUCUGGGUGGCGAGUGGCGGACGGGUGAGGAAUACAUCGGAAUCUACUCUGUCGUGGGGGAUAACGUAGGGAAACUUACGCUAAUACCGCAUACGACCUACGGGUGAAAGCAGGGGACCUUCGGGCCUUGCGCGAUUGAAUGAGCCGAUGUCGGAUUAGCUAGUUGGCGGGGUAAAGGCCCACCAAGGCGACGAUCCGUAGCUGGUCUGAGAGGCUGAUCAGCCACACUGGAACUGAGACACGGUCCAGACUCCUACGGGAGGCAGCAGUGGGGAAUAUUGGACAAUGGGCGCAAGCCUGGUCCAGCCAUACCGCGUGGGUGAAGAAGGCCUUCGGGUUGUAAAGCCCUUUUGUUGGGAAAGGAAUCCAGCUGGCUAAUACCCGGUUGGAUGACGGUACCCAAAGAAUAAGCACCGGCUAACUUCGUGCCAGCCGCCGCCGUAA
Molecule: ribosomal RNA, 505 nt
Filed under: uncultured bacterium
Lineage: Bacteria
Description: partial 16S ribosomal RNA
Rfam family: Bacterial small subunit ribosomal RNA
Source: RNAcentral